RNAcentral lists this ribosomal RNA (497 nucleotides) under uncultured bacterium. RNAcentral describes it as "partial 16S ribosomal RNA". It matches the Rfam family "Bacterial small subunit ribosomal RNA", at positions 28 to 507 of the family's 1533-position model. The record is from RNAcentral.
GAUGAACGCUGGCGGCGUGCCUAAUACAUGCAGGUCGAGCGAACAGACGAGGAGCUUGCUCCUCUGACGUUAGCGGCGGACGGGUGAGUAACACGUGGAUAACCUACCUAUAAGACUGGGAUAACUUCGGGAAACCGGAGCUAAUACCGGAUAAUAUAUUGAACCGCAUGGUUCAAUAGUGAAAGACGGUUUUGCUGUCACUUAUAGAUGGAUCCGCGCCGCAUUAGCUAGUUGGUAAGGUAACGGCUUACCAAGGCAACGAUGCGUAGCCGACCUGAGAGGGUGAUCGGCCACACUGGAACUGAGACACGGUCCAGACUCCUACGGGAGGCAGCAGUAGGGAAUCUUCCGCAGUGGGCGAAAGCCUGACGGAGCAACGCCGCGUGAGUGAUGAAGGUCUUCGGAUCGUAAAACUCUGUUAUUAGGGAAGAACAAAUGUGUAAGUAACUAUGCACGUCUUGACGGUACCUAAUCAGAAAGCCACGGCUAACUACGUG